This 405-nucleotide unclassified non-coding RNA is filed under the name soil metagenome. RNAcentral's name for it is "partial contains 5.8S ribosomal RNA, internal transcribed spacer 2, and large subunit ribosomal RNA". The stretch from base 1 to 121 matches the Rfam family "5.8S ribosomal RNA", at positions 35 to 154 of the family's 154-position model. The record is from RNAcentral.
GAUGAAGAACGUAGCGAAAUGCGAUAAGUAAUGUGAAUUGCAGAAUUCAGUGAAUCAUCGAAUCUUUGAACGCACCUUGCGCCCUUUGGCCAUUCCGAAGGGCAUGCCUGUUUGAGUAUCAUGAGCACCUCAACUCUUUAUGGUUUUCCAUGAUGAGCUUGGACUCUGGGGGUUUUGCUGGCUCACAGUCGGCUCCUCUAAAAUGAAUCAGCUUACCAGUGUUUGGUGGGUAUCAUGGGUGUGAUAACUAUCUACGCUUGUGGUUUUUCCACCAGGUAACCUUCAGCAGUGGAGGUUCGCUGGAGCUCAUAGAUGUCUCUCCUCAGUGAGGACAGCCCUUUGAAUGUUUGAUCUCAAAUCAGGUAGGACUACCCGCUGAACUUAAGCAUAUCAAUAAGCGGAGGA